Long non-coding RNA from Hibiscus syriacus, 337 nucleotides. RefSeq lists it as uncharacterized. The record is from RefSeq and is a predicted model, not a curated record. Lineage: Eukaryota; Viridiplantae; Streptophyta; Magnoliopsida; Malvales; Malvaceae. The transcript has 4 exons.
AUUUAUUCUAAAUUGUUGUUGGUACUUGACGUAGGUUCUGCAGUUCAUGAUAACUGUAGAGCUGUUCUUGUUGGGGAGAGGACUUUUGGAAAGGGUCUAAUUCAAUCUGUCUUUGAACUUCGUGAUGGAUCUGGGGUGGUUGUCAAUGUUCACUGUUGGAAAGUAUGCGACACCAAAAUCAUUUGGACAUCAAUGGCAAUGGAAUAGAACCUGACUGUACAAACUUCCCAGCUUGGAGCGAUAUUGCACAGCAUCUGUCAAGAUGCUAUUCGCUUCGACAAGGCUGGAAACAGUUAGAUGGAGGUAUGAUCUGGAUUUUCUUGCCCUGUAGGUGCAC